UGGGCGUAAAGCGAGCGCAGCGUUUUUAAGUCUGAUGUGAAAGCCUUCGGCUCAACCGAAGAAGUGCAUCGGAAACUGGGAGACUUGAGUGCAGAAGAGGACAGUGGAACUCCAUGUGUAGCGGUGAAAUGCGUAGAUAUAUGGAAGAACACCAGUGGCGAAGGCGGCUGUCUGGUCUGUAACUGACGCUGAGGCUCGAAAAGCAUGGGUAGCAAACAGGAUUAGAUACCCUGGUAGUCCAUACCGUAAACGAUGAGUGCUAGGUGUUGGAGGGUUUCCGCCCUUCAGUGCUGCAGCUAACGCAUUAAGCACUCCGCCUGGGGAGUACGACCGCAAGGCUGAAACUCAAAGGAAUUGACGGGGGCCCGCACAAGCGGUGGAGCAUGUGGUUUAAUUCGAAGCUACGCGAAGAACCUUACCAGGUCUUGACAUACUAUGCAAAUCUAAGAGAUUAGACGUUCCCUUCGGGGACAUGGAUACAGGUGGUGCAUGGUUGUCGUCAGCUCGUGUCGUGAGAUGUUGGGUUAAGUCCCGCAACGAGCGCAACCCUUAUUAUCAGUUGCCAGCAUUAAGUUGGGCACUCUGGUGAGACUGCCGGUGACAAACCGGAGGAAGGUGGGGAUGACGUCAAAUCAUCAUGCCCCUUAUGACCUGGGCUACACACGUGCUACAAUGGAUGGUACAACGAGUUGCGAACUCGCGAGAGUAAGCUAAUCUCUUAAAGCCAUUCUCAGUUCGGAUUGUAGGCUGCAACUCGCCUACAUGAAGUCGGAAUCGCUAGUAAUCGCGGAUCAGCAUGCCGCGGUGAAUACGUUCCCGGGCCUUGUACACACCGCCCGUCACACCAUGAGAGUUUGUAACGCCCAAAGUCGGUGGCGGUAACCUUUUAGGAACCAGCCGCCUAAAGCGUGA
RNAcentral lists this ribosomal RNA (912 nucleotides) under Lactiplantibacillus plantarum. Its description in RNAcentral is "bacterial SSU rRNA". It matches the Rfam family "Bacterial small subunit ribosomal RNA", at positions 555 to 1467 of the family's 1533-position model. Lineage: Bacteria; Bacillati; Bacillota; Bacilli; Lactobacillales; Lactobacillaceae. The record is from RNAcentral.